AGCAGUCGCUGCGGGAAUACGGAGGAUCCAAGCGUUAUCCGGAAUCAUUGGGUUUAAAGGGUCCGUAGGCGGUCUUGUAAGUCAGUGGUGAAAGCCCAUCGCUCAACGGUGGAACGGCCAUUGAUACUGCAGGACUUGAAUUAUUGGGAAGUAACUAGAAUAUGUAGUGUAGCGGUGAAAUGCUUAGAGAUUACAUGGAAUACCAAUUGCGAAGGCAGGUUACUACCAAUUGAUUGACGCUGAUGGACGAAAGCGUGGGUAGCGAACAGGAUUAGAUACCCCUGUAGUCCCUGUCUCUUAUAC
Molecule: ribosomal RNA, 303 nt
Filed under: uncultured bacterium
Lineage: Bacteria
Description: partial 16S ribosomal RNA
Rfam family: Bacterial small subunit ribosomal RNA
Source: RNAcentral